UACUGUUCCUUUACCCUCUCUUCGAUUUUGAGAAAGUAGUCAUGUUGGGAGUCUGGCUCUCGAGAUUCGGAUGACGGUGCCUCUUCGAUUUUGGAGCAAGCAAUCUUGUUGGGAGUGUUUUCUCGAAUGUGAGUAAAGGUUGGGCAUGUUUGCUAGUCUACCUUGCCACGAAGCACAGAGGUUGACACACAGGGACUUUUCAAUUAUCCAGCAGUGGUACUGUUCCUUUACCCUUGUGGGUAAUAAUAUGGUAGCUAUACCUUCAAAAUUUAUGUGUCUAAACUUUGUUAGUGCUGUUUCUUUGCUAUUCUUUUACCUUUCUUGGUCAGAGCGAUGUAGUGGGAGCUGCAAGCUUCACGUGCUCAACUUUGGCAGAGAACUUUGGCAAAGUUAUCUGUGGUACCCAUGAGCUAUUGUUGCGUGUGGGAAGUGGGUGAUUGAACAGUAAGAUUCAUGUGCUUUCUACUUCACCAGAAGUCUUCGACAGAAUGCCCAUAAUUUCUGCAAAGCUGAGUGUGCGUGUGACAGGUGCUGACAAGGCUAGAAAAGUAGGUGCCUCUUCGAUUUCUGAGAUCGGCCCUCGUGGUCUCUGAGCAGCCCAGCUUUUGAGAAAGCGAGCGCCUCUUCGAUUGAUUCGGAGAACGAUGCCUCAUCGAUUUUUGAGAAAGCAAUCAUGCUGGGGGUCUGGCUCUCGAAGAUUCGGGGAGCAGUGUCUCUUCGAUUUUUGAGAAAGUAAUCAUAUUGGGAGUUUGGCUCUCGAGAUUCGGAGGGCGGUGCCUCUUCGAUUUUGGAGCAAGCAAUCUUGUUGGGAGUGUUUUCUCGAGUGUGAGUAAAGGUUGGGCAUGUUUGCUAGUCUACCUUGCCACGAAGCACAGAGGUUGACACACAGGGACUUUCCAAUUAUCCAGCAAUGGUACUGUUCCUUUACCCUCUCUUCGAUUUUUAAGAAAGUAGUCAUGUUGGGAGUCUGGCUCUCGAGAUUCGAAGGACGGUGCCUCUUCGAUUUUGGAGCAAGCAAUCUUAUUGGGAGUGUUUUCUCGAAUGUGAGUAAAGGUUGGGCAUGUUUGCUAGUCUACCUUGCCACGAAGCACAGAGGUUAACACACAGGGACUUUCCAAUUAUCCAGCAGUGGUACUGUUCCUUUACCCUUGUGGGUAAUAAUAUGGUAGCUAGACCUUCAAAAUUUAUGGGUCUAAACUUUGUUAAUGCUAUUUCUUUGCUAUUCU
Molecule: long non-coding RNA, 1226 nt
Filed under: Malus domestica (apple)
Lineage: Eukaryota; Viridiplantae; Streptophyta; Magnoliopsida; Rosales; Rosaceae
Description: long non-coding RNA (MDOM_LNC005477)
Source: RNAcentral